GGUUAAGCGACUAAGCGUACACGGUGGAUGCCCUGGCAGUCAGAGGCGAUGAAGGGCGUGCUAAUCUGCGAUAAGCGCCGGUAAGGUGAUAUGAACCGUUAUAACCGGCGAUACCCGAAUGGGGAAACCCAGUGUGACUCGUCACACUAUCAUUAACUGAAUCCAUAGGUUAAUGAGGCGAACCGGGGGAACUGAAACAUCUAAGUACCCCGAGGAAAAGAAAUCAACCGAGAUUCCCCCAGUAGCGGCGAGCGAACGGGGAGGAGCCCAGAGCCUGAAUCAGCAUGUGUGUUAGUGGAAGCGUCUGGAAAGGCGCGCGAUACAGGGUGACAGCCCCGUACACAAAAGCGCAUGUGCUGUGAGCUCGAUGAGUAGGGCGGGACACGUGGUAUCCUGUCUGAAUAUGGGGGGACCAUCCUCCAAGGCUAAAUACUCCUGACUGACCGAUAGUGAACCAGUACCGUGAGGGAAAGGCGAAAAGAACCCCGGCGAGGGGAGUGAAAAAGAACCUGAAACCGUGUACGUACAAGCAGUGGGAGCCCCACCACCAAAGCAUUUGCUGUACCGCGUUGACGGAGCGAAGCGACGUCAAACCGAUAAAACAGCAGUGUAAAGUGAGCCGCAGGGCGCUUUGCGCGACAGCGCAAAGGCAGGCGGUUUCGCGUAGCGAAAGCGAAUGCUUUGGGGUGGGGUGACUGCGUACCUUUUGUAUAAUGGGUCAGCGACUUAUAUUCUGUAGCAAGGUUAACCGAAUAGGGGAGCCGGAGGGAAACCGAGUCUUAAU
RNAcentral lists this ribosomal RNA (784 nucleotides) under Salmonella enterica. RNAcentral's name for it is "partial 23S ribosomal RNA". It matches the Rfam family "Bacterial large subunit ribosomal RNA", at positions 1 to 688 of the family's 2925-position model. RNAcentral also lists the same sequence under 1 other name. The record is from RNAcentral. Lineage: Bacteria; Pseudomonadati; Pseudomonadota; Gammaproteobacteria; Enterobacterales; Enterobacteriaceae.